This 589-nucleotide ribosomal RNA is filed under the name Halomonas shengliensis. RNAcentral's name for it is "bacterial SSU rRNA". It matches the Rfam family "Bacterial small subunit ribosomal RNA", at positions 100 to 687 of the family's 1533-position model. The record is from RNAcentral. Lineage: Bacteria; Pseudomonadati; Pseudomonadota; Gammaproteobacteria; Oceanospirillales; Halomonadaceae.
GACGGGUGAGUAACGCAUAGGAAUCUGCCCGGUAGUGGGGGAUAACCUGGGGAAACCCAGGCUAAUACCGCAUACGUCCUACGGGAGAAAGCAGGGGAUCUUCGGACCUUGCGCUAUCGGAUGAGCCUAUGUCGGAUUAGCUGGUUGGUGAGGUAAUGGCUCACCAAGGCGACGAUCCGUAGCUGGUCUGAGAGGAUGAUCAGCCACAUCGGGACUGAGACACGGCCCGAACUCCUACGGGAGGCAGCAGUGGGGAAUAUUGGACAAUGGGCGCAAGCCUGAUCCAGCCAUGCCGCGUGUGUGAAGAAGGCCCUCGGGUUGUAAAGCACUUUCAGUGGGGAAGAAAUCCUCGGGGCUAAUACCCUCGAGGGAGGACAUCACCCACAGAAGAAGCACCGGCUAACUCCGUGCCAGCAGCCGCGGUAAUACGGAGGGUGCGAGCGUUAAUCGGAAUUACUGGGCGUAAAGCGCGCGUAGGCGGCCUGAUAAGCCGGUUGUGAAAGCCCCGGGCUCAACCUGGGAACGGCAUCCGGAACUGUCAGGCUAGAGUGCAGGAGAGGAAGGUAGAUUCCCGGUGUACCGGUGAAAU